RNAcentral lists this ribosomal RNA (958 nucleotides) under Anthicus sp. COL324. Its description in RNAcentral is "SSU rRNA". It matches the Rfam family "Eukaryotic small subunit ribosomal RNA", at positions 34 to 938 of the family's 1831-position model. Lineage: Eukaryota; Metazoa; Arthropoda; Insecta; Coleoptera; Anthicidae. The record is from RNAcentral.
GUCUCAAAGAUUAAGCCAUGCAUGUCUCAGUACAAGCCAAAUUAAGGUGAAACCGCGAAAGGCUCAUUAAAUCAGUUAUGGUUCCUUAGAUCGUACCCACAUUUACUUGGAUAACUGUGGUAAUUCUAGAGCUAAUACAUGCAAACAGAACUCCGACCGGAGACGGAAGGAGUGCUUUUAUUAGAUCAAAACCAAUCGGUGGUGGUCUCCAUCAUCGUAUUAUUUGGUGAUUCUGAAUAACUUUCAGCUGAUCGCACGGUCUCGCACCGGCGACGCAUCUUUCAAAUGUCUGCCUUAUCAACUGUCGAUGGUAGGUUCUGCGCCUACCAUGGUAGUAACGGGUAACGGGGAAUCAGGGUUCGAUUCCGGAGAGGGAGCCUGAGAAACGGCUACCACAUCCAAGGAAGGCAGCAGGCGCGCAAAUUACCCACUCCCGGCACGGGGAGGUAGUGACGAAAAAUAACGAUACGGGACUCAUCCGAGGCCCCGUAAUCGGAAUGAGUACACUCUAAACCCUUUAACGAGGAUCAAUUGGAGGGCAAGUCUGGUGCCAGCAGCCGCGGUAAUUCCAGCUCCAAUAGCGUAUAUUAAAGUUGUUGCGGUUAAAAAGCUCGUAGUCGAAUCUGUGUCCCACGCCGCCGGUUCAUCGUUCGCGGUGUUAACUGGCGUGUCGCGGGACGUCCUGCCGGUGGGCUUAGCUUUCACGGGCGGCCCAACUCAAUCCCGCCGCGGUGCUCUUCAUUGAGUGUCGAGGUGGGCCGGCACGUUUACUUUGAACAAAUUAGAGUGCUUAAAGCAGGCUAAAAUUUCGCCUGAAUAUUAGUGCAUGGAAUAAUGGAAUAGGACCUCGGUUCUAUUUUGUUGGUUUUCGGAACCCCGAGGUAAUGAUUAAUAGGAACGGAUGGGGGCAUUCGUAUUGCGACGUUAGAGGUGAAAUUCUUGGAUCGUCGCAAGACGG